GGCCGCCUGGCGAAAUGGCAUCGCGUCUGACUACGAUACUACGCACUCGAAAUCAGGAGAUUGCAGGUUCGACCCCUGCGGUGGUCA
This 87-nucleotide transfer RNA is filed under the name Heterobasidion irregulare TC 32-1. It matches the Rfam family "tRNA". Rfam says of the family: Transfer RNA (tRNA) molecules are approximately 80 nucleotides in length. Their secondary structure includes four short double-helical elements and three loops (D, anti-codon, and T loops). Further hydrogen bonds mediate the characteristic L-shaped molecular structure. tRNAs have two regions of fundamental functional importance: the anti-codon, which is responsible for specific mRNA codon recognition, and the 3' end, to which the tRNAs corresponding amino acid is attached (by aminoacyl-tRNA synthetases). tRNAs cope with the degeneracy of the genetic code in two manners: having more than one tRNA (with a specific anti-codon) for a particular amino acid; and 'wobble' base-pairing, i.e. permitting non-standard base-pairing at the 3rd anti-codon position. The record is from Rfam by way of RNAcentral. Lineage: Eukaryota; Fungi; Basidiomycota; Agaricomycetes; Russulales; Bondarzewiaceae.